AGAUAAUACCUGACGAACUCA
RNAcentral lists this microRNA (21 nucleotides) under Drosophila simulans. RNAcentral's name for it is "dsi-miR-983b-5p". Its record names the gene dsi-miR-983b-5p. Lineage: Eukaryota; Metazoa; Arthropoda; Insecta; Diptera; Drosophilidae. The record is from miRBase by way of RNAcentral.